CAACUCAGAUACAACUCAGAUACAACUCAGAUACAGCUCAGUUUAGGAUCCUCAAAUCAAGUGAUAGAAAGAGAUAAAGUGUUUGGUUUUUCUUUCUAGGUUCUACAACUUCAGCUACAACUAAAGAGACACCAACAACAAUGACAACAAAUCUGUAAGUUCAAAUUUUCCACUCGGUCUUUAAAACUAGCUGAGCUGUAUGUUCACCUCAUUUUGGCGUUUUACUGUUUGCUUUUUGCAGAACUACAAAUGCACCGUCUGCAAACACAAAGAAGACGAGCGAUGAUAAUGAAAAUUCCAUGUUGAUCUGGGUUCUGCUGGCUGUAGGUCUGGGGCUGCUCUUCCUCCUGAUCAUCAUUAUUACCUUUAGGACAAGAAAGCGAAGUAAGUAUUUAUAAUCUGUCGUUUUUUAGUUUAAGUGAGGUCGGAUAGUGGCUACCA
This 441-nucleotide long non-coding RNA is filed under the name Astyanax mexicanus (Mexican tetra). Its description in RNAcentral is "lncRNA (ENSAMXG00005001496.1)". The record is from RNAcentral. Lineage: Eukaryota; Metazoa; Chordata; Actinopteri; Characiformes; Acestrorhamphidae.